GCGGGUGUUGUGUAAUGGUAAGACCUUAGGUUUCCAACCUAAAGAUAGGAGUUCGAUUCUCCUCUCCCGCUCCA
Molecule: transfer RNA, 74 nt
Filed under: bacterium
Lineage: Bacteria
Description: tRNA-Gly
Rfam family: tRNA
About the family: Transfer RNA (tRNA) molecules are approximately 80 nucleotides in length. Their secondary structure includes four short double-helical elements and three loops (D, anti-codon, and T loops). Further hydrogen bonds mediate the characteristic L-shaped molecular structure. tRNAs have two regions of fundamental functional importance: the anti-codon, which is responsible for specific mRNA codon recognition, and the 3' end, to which the tRNAs corresponding amino acid is attached (by aminoacyl-tRNA synthetases). tRNAs cope with the degeneracy of the genetic code in two manners: having more than one tRNA (with a specific anti-codon) for a particular amino acid; and 'wobble' base-pairing, i.e. permitting non-standard base-pairing at the 3rd anti-codon position.
Source: RNAcentral